This 262-nucleotide ribosomal RNA is filed under the name uncultured archaeon. Its description in RNAcentral is "partial 16S ribosomal RNA". It matches the Rfam family "Archaeal small subunit ribosomal RNA", at positions 748 to 1009 of the family's 1478-position model. The record is from RNAcentral.
CAGCCGUAAACUAUGCUCGCUAGGUGUCAGGCAUGGCGCGACCGUGUCUGGUGCCGCAGGGAAGCCGUGAAGCGAGCCACCUGGGAAGUACGGCCGCAAGGCUGAAACUUAAAGGAAUUGGCGGGGGGAGCACAACAACGGGUGGAGCCUGCGGUUUAAUUGGACUCAACGCCGGGAAGCUCACCGGAUAAGACAGCGGAAUGAUUGCCGGGCUGAAGACUCUGCAUGACUAGCUGAGAGGUGGUGCAUGGCGUAGACGUCU